Molecule: non-coding RNA, 178 nt
Filed under: Leptospira weilii
Lineage: Bacteria; Pseudomonadati; Spirochaetota; Leptospiria; Leptospirales; Leptospiraceae
Source: RNAcentral
ACUCUGGAAUACAAACUUGUUCAUCCUCGUAAAAAGGAAGGGAAUCCGGUUUAAGUCCGGAGCUGAACCCGCAGCUGUAAUCGCCAACCAAGGUUUCGCAAAAAUACCACUGCUUUAAACGCGGGAAGGGCGCGAAGUCGGCGAGAGCCAGAAGACCUAACAAGUGAAACAAACUGAU